GGGAGCUUGCUCCCUGAUGUUAGCGGCGGACGGGUGAGUAACACGUGGGUAACCUGCCUGUAAGACUGGGAUAACUCCGGGAAACCGGGGCUAAUACCGGAUGGUUGUUUGAACCGCAUGGUUCAGACAUAAAAGGUGGCUUCGGCUACCACUUACAGAUGGACCCGCGGCGCAUUAGCUAGUUGGUGAGGUAACGGCUCACCAAGGCAACGAUGCGUAGCCGACCUGAGAGGGUGAUCGGCCACACUGGGACUGAGACACGGCCCAGACUCCUACGGGAGGCAGCAGUAGGGAAUCUUCCGCAAUGGACGAAAGUCUGACGGAGCAACGCCGCGUGAGUGAUGAAGGUUUUCGGAUCGUAAAGCUCUGUUGUUAGGGAAGAACAAGUGCCGUUCAAAUAGGGCGGCACCUUGACGGUACCUAACCAGAAAGCCACGGCUAACUACGUGCCAGCAGCCGCGGUAAUACGUAGGUGGCAAGCGUUGUCCGGAAUUAUUGGGCGUAAAGGGCUCGCAGGCGGUUUCUUAAGUCUGAUGUGAAAGCCCCCGGCUCAACCGGGGAGGGUCAUUGGAAACUGGGGAACUUGAGUGCAGAAGAGGAGAGUGGAAUUCCACGUGUAGCGGUGAAAUGCGUAGAGAUGUGGAGGAACACCAGUGGCGAAGGCGACUCUCUGGUCUGUAACUGACGCUG
Molecule: ribosomal RNA, 690 nt
Filed under: Bacillus amyloliquefaciens
Lineage: Bacteria; Bacillati; Bacillota; Bacilli; Caryophanales; Bacillaceae
Description: bacterial SSU rRNA
Rfam family: Bacterial small subunit ribosomal RNA
Source: RNAcentral